UGAAUAUUAUUUUUACAGUAACCUUUCGAUCAUUGGCAUCGAGCCACAGUUACUUGGCUAACACGUCUCUCACGCAUCAAUGGAAACGAAUGCUCACUGUUUCGUAGAAAACUUUGGCGAAGUGCAGAACGUAACGGAAUCUUACGUGCUAAAUAUAGAGAUGUCAACUAAACUCAGGGAUGUUAUGAACAGUUAGAAACAGAAUGCACGAUCGUAAAUACUAUUUUAUCUAACGUGAACUAUAGGUUACGUAAGUUAAGUUUUGUAACAACCUAUGCAAUAAAAACAUUGAAGAUGAAGAAGGAGAGACAAAUUUAUAUGGCCGAACAGUAGGAACCUAGACGCCGGUGCUCCAGAAGCGGUGGCUCGCAAAGAAAGAGGAGACCAACUUGAGGAAGAAGGUGGUGAGAAGGUGGUGGAGAAUGGAAGAAAGGGAAGUAGGAGGAGGAAGAGGAGGAGGAGGAGAGAAAGAACAGGAGAAGGCAGCACUGUGAGGCACUUUACUAGAUGCAUAUAUAGGGUGUUUCCUGUAUGUUUAUCCAAAAGAUAUUAUAAUAUUAAUAGAUAUAUGAGAAAUAAAAAAAAGGAAUUGUACAAUUCAA
Apis cerana (Asiatic honeybee) is the source of this 602-nucleotide long non-coding RNA. RefSeq lists it as uncharacterized. NCBI's taxonomy places the organism in Eukaryota, Metazoa, Arthropoda, Insecta, Hymenoptera, Apidae. The record is from RefSeq and is a predicted model, not a curated record.